CACCGGCAGCUCAAGUGGUGGCCAUUAUUAUUGAGCCUAAAACGUCCGUAGCCGGUCUUCUAAAUCCUUGGGUAAAUCGGGCAGCUUAACUGUCCGAAGUCCGGGGAGACUGGAAGACUUGGGACCGGGAGAGGUCAGAGGUACUUCUGGGGUAGGGGUAAAAUCCUGUAAUCCUAGAAGGACCACCGGUGGCGAAGGCGUCUCACUAGAACGAAUCCGACGGUGAGGGACGAAGCCCUGGGGCGCAAACGGG
This 253-nucleotide ribosomal RNA is filed under the name uncultured Methanomassiliicoccales archaeon. Its description in RNAcentral is "partial 16S ribosomal RNA". It matches the Rfam family "Archaeal small subunit ribosomal RNA", at positions 474 to 727 of the family's 1478-position model. The record is from RNAcentral. Lineage: Archaea; Methanobacteriati; Thermoplasmatota; Thermoplasmata; Methanomassiliicoccales.